UGACCCAAAAGGAUCACCCUUUUUUCUCUCCUGGAGCGACAAUGCAACGUAGGCCAAUUUGGUCAUUUAACUCAACGGCCAUGACAUUUAUUACAAUAGUUAUUACUUUUUAAUUCCUGAUGUUUGUUUGUGUUUUGAAAUAAAUGCAAGCCAGCUGUUUUUCUAAAAAUAAUAAUAAUUUAACUUUACUCUCUUUGCAACCGGACCAUUAUUUUCCUUUCUUUUGUUUUUCUAAAAAUAAUAAUAAUUUAACUUUACUCUCUUUGCAACCGGACCAUUAUUUUCCUUGCUUUCAAAGUCUUCCUUCCUUUCCUCAAUCAAUCAAAGUAUCGUUUAAUACAUCUUCCCCCCCCCCCCCCCUCAUUUUCACUUCACUUACCAAAAGAAGAAGAGAAACCCAACAAACAAGCUGAAGCAGAGAAGCUUUUGCACUUUAUUAAUGGCGGAUUCAGAUCCUCCCUUCACAAGGGCCAACAGCAUACACAGAAACAAUGAUAGUAAUAACUACGCGCUCUUUCUUGGUAAGUUGCUGUUUUUUGCUUUCUUACUCAUUGCAAUCCCAUUGUUCCCUUCCCAACCUCCAGAUUUCAUAAACCAAACAGUACUCAACAAGUUUUGGGAACUUCUUCAUCUUAUGUUCAUUGGCAUUGCUGUUUCUUAUGGCUUGUUCGGUCGUAGAUAUAUUGAUAAUGGUAAUCUUGAUGAUUCUCAAUCGCAUGCUUCUGGAAUGUUCCAUGUUUCGUCUAUAUUUGAAGAUGGUUUUGAUCAUUCCAUGCACUGUAGUGGACAGGGUAAAGCUGGAUGUUUUAAUGUUAAAAAUGGUAGCUUUGACAACCCUUACGAGGAAAAUGUUGUUCAAGCUUGGAGUUCAAAGUAUGUCCAAGGGGAACCCACGGUUGUGCUGGCUCAACCACAUUGUGGUGUCGAAAAGUAUGGUGAAUUGAUUUCGUUUAGAGAUGAUAAACCUUUGGGGUUGCCUGUUAGGAGUUUAAAAUCCAGGGCUAUGAGUCCUGAAUUUGGCAAUGGAUCGAGUGAUUCUUCGGGUCCGAGUGUGAUGGAUUCAUCGGAUGGUUCCGAUAAGAGUGAAAAUGGGAGCUUUAGUGAUUUGACUCGCGAAAAUUUGGAGGGGAAGUCGAACAAGAGUGGUGCUUUGGGUUCUCCGAUGCCUUGGCGUUGGAGAUCAGGAAGGGUGAGACAACGAUUUGACGGUGGUAGUGUCACACGCCCUUCUCAUUUCAGGCCUCUCUCAGUUGACGAAUCUCAAUUUCAAUCACUCAAAUCACGGUCUUUACACUCCCAACUCGCUUCCCAAUCACAUUCACCGAGUAGCUUGUCUCCCUCGCAUCCCAGUUCUUCAGAACCACCAAAAUCCAAAAUGAUUGAAUCCCUGAAGGAAAGGAAUCCCAGCCAGUCUUUUCCUCUGCCUUCACCAUUAAAAAGACGGAAGCCAGUAAUUGCAUCGCAUUCUCGGCAGUAUAGUGAUGGCUCCUUAUUGGGGACCCGCUCAAGGAAAUGCUUUGAGGAUGAAUGGGAGGAAUUCUGUGACAGCAAAAAGGAUGAUGGUUCAUCAACCAACAAAGAAAGGGUCUCAAGUUAUCCCUUGAAAUUUGAUGCAAAGCCUAUAGCUCCUCCAAGGCUUCCUCAAGAGGGAAGUCUGUUCGAACCUUUAGAGGCAGUGGCAUUACCAUAGUUGGGUCUGGGGAUGCCGGAGAGAAGCAGGAAAAUCAUACAAAGGGAUGUGAUGAAAUUGAAGAGGUUGAGGGUUACAAAGGUGGAAGUGACCCAAAAUUAGGAGAUUGUAAUCCCUCGGUUGUGUUCAACAGGCAGAAUCUUGGAGGUAAUGCUUACAUGCCAAACCCAACAUAUUCCAGAAACCGGAACCAAGAGUUUGCGGAGAAUUCCGAGUCGGAGAGAGAGGAUGAAGAUUUUGGAGAAAGGUCAGAUGAAGCAACCAUGUCCGGAGCUACGAGUGUAGCAGGAAGUGAUACUUAUGAGGUUGAUAGGAAGGCUGGUGAGUUUAUAGCCAAGUUCAGAGAGCAGAUUAGGCUUCAAAGAACAACAUCAAUUGAAACACUAAAAGGGUUCAACGUGAAUUUUUUAGAGUGAAAGUAUUUGGUGGCUGUAAAUUUCUAAUAGAAGAGUUAUAUCACUCGUCACUCUUAGGAAGUUGAGGAUUCUUCAUUCUCGUAGUCCUAGCGUGGUGACCUUAAUAUUUGUCAUUCUAUAAUGUCUUUCUUUAUAUGGUUGAAGAUAUGAUUUGUUAGUAUUAUUCUUUUUUGUUUGAGCAAGUUCAUGAAAAACCAUGUUCAAUUAAUUGUUACAAACAUGUGUUGGAUAAUUAAUUCAAAAGCUGGACAAAUUUAUUGA
Gossypium raimondii (Peruvian cotton) is the source of this 2367-nucleotide RNA transcript. RefSeq lists it as uncharacterized. NCBI's taxonomy places the organism in Eukaryota, Viridiplantae, Streptophyta, Magnoliopsida, Malvales, Malvaceae. The record is from RefSeq and is a predicted model, not a curated record. The transcript has a single exon.